Molecule: long non-coding RNA, 1465 nt
Organism: Cucumis sativus (cucumber)
Lineage: Eukaryota; Viridiplantae; Streptophyta; Magnoliopsida; Cucurbitales; Cucurbitaceae
Exons: 2
Source: RefSeq, a predicted model, not a curated record
AGAUUAUAUUGUUGUGAAGGAAGGCAUUCCAUUGAAGAGAGAUGAAUAACCAAAAUAAAAGAAGUGAAAUUUUUUAGGAGACACUCGUGUGCGGUGAUUACAUUGGGGUCGGUGCCCACUUUUACCAAAGCCAGUCAUCAAAUAAAGUAAGUUAAAUCAUCUCUUCAUGCAUGUCAUUAAAGAUGUAAAAUAAUAAUCAAUGAAUUGCACUUUGCUUUACACACAGCCUGCUUCAAAUUGAAGCCAUAUAUAUGGUUUAAAGGUUUUGCUCUAUUGCAUAACUAUGCUCUUUUUUCCUUUUCUUUUUUAAUAUUGCAGUUAUUAACACUCCUUCUCAUGCGUAAAUUGGAAUAUAAUAGGAAGUUAAUUUAGUUUCUUUUCAACUGAUCUCUCUUGCAGUUCUUUCUGAUUUCAUGAAUUGUCUGUGAAUAUGGGGAUGUUAGGUUGUGAUUUUCUGUUUGUUCUAUGAAUUAAAAAAAAAGGUUUUUCUUCACUGUCAACUAUGUGUUGUAGUUUGCUUUUUUUUUUUUUUAAAGAAAAAUUGGUGUGAACAUUUGAACAUAUGAAAAACAUUAGUGAAAUUAAAUGUGACAAACUUAUGAAUGGGGUAGUUUGGGAGGUAUAAUUUGGUUGGAGAGAAUUAGAGAAACAGUGGGAAAAAAAAAUCUAAAAAUGGCUAUGUUUGGAGGCCCCCCUCCUACUUCUCUUCUACUCCUAUUUUACAUUUUUCUCCCAAAAAACCACUUGGAUUUUCCCCCAUUUCCUUCCUUAUCACAUCAACAAAAUCACUGUCUUUGCCCUUUACUCGUUCCAAUUCCUAAAUAUUUGUCGUGGAGUAAUAUACAUCAAACGAUUAAAGCAAAACUAAGUAAUAUACAUCUAACACAUACCUAAUUUUAUUGAUAAAGUAUUUACUUUAUGAAACCAUAUGAAAUCAGUAUUUUCCUAAGGGAAAAUGAUAGCUUACUGGUCUGCUUGAUACUAACUACCCAACCAAAGAAAAGAACUAAACAUCCAUGUAGUACAUAUCUAUAGUUAUGUAAAGUUAAGAAAGUCAUAGAUUUAAUGGCUUGGUUUGGUAAGAGUUACAGAAGGAGGAAUGAAAAUCAAAUGGCUGUUUUGAGUUGAUUCCAGCCAGCCCCCAUUUUUAUAUUUUGCACAAAUUUUUUGUUUCAUGCCUUGAUUAUUGCAGAACUUCAGGAUCUAAAAAGAGAAGAAAUGUUGGGAGAGAGGCCAAGAAUGAUUGAAGUCAUAUCGGGUUGAAAGCUAAGUGAUCGUGUAGACAACCAGACAAUCGUUAAAGGUUGAAGACUGAGAAGACGUCUAAGAUUUCUUAUUUAAGUCAUGUAUUAGGAUCUUGUACUCUUGUAAAAUAUAUACAUAACACAAUAUUAAGAUUUCAUUUUGUGUAUACACAAGUAAAUGACAAAUAUUGUAGUUUCUAAAUUAAUAUUAAUUUUAUUGA